Molecule: ribosomal RNA, 465 nt
Filed under: uncultured bacterium
Lineage: Bacteria
Description: partial 16S ribosomal RNA
Rfam family: Bacterial small subunit ribosomal RNA
Source: RNAcentral
CCUACGGGAGGCUACAGUGGGGAAUAUUGCGCAAUGGGCGAAAGCCUGACGCAGCGACGCCGCGUGAGGGAUGAAGGUCUUCGGAUCGUAAACCUCUGUCAGCAGGGAAGAACGGUCACUGUGCUAAUCAGCAGUGAAUUGACGGUACCUGCAAAGGAAGCACCGGCUAACUCCGUGCCAGCAGCCGCGGUAAUACGGAGGGUGCGAGCGUGAAUCGGAAUUACUGGGCGUAAAGCGCUCGUAGGCGGUAGGUCAAGUCAAGGGUGAAGUCCCCGCGCUCAACGUGGGAACGGCCUUUGAAACUGGCAAACUGGAGUGUGUGAGAGGAUAGUGGAAUUCCAGGGGUAGGAGUGAAAUCCGUAGAUAUCUGGAGGAACAUCAGUGGCGAAGGCGACUAUCUGGCACAUAACUGACGCUGAGGAGCGAAAGCGUGGGUAGCAAACAGGAUUAGAUACCCCAGUAGUC